Dreissena polymorpha is the source of this 349-nucleotide long non-coding RNA. RefSeq lists it as uncharacterized. The record is from RefSeq and is a predicted model, not a curated record. NCBI's taxonomy places the organism in Eukaryota, Metazoa, Mollusca, Bivalvia, Myida, Dreissenidae. The transcript is spliced from 3 exons.
UGUAAAUCAACAAUAAAGGAGAUUAAAAGUGGGUGGUUAAAGACAUAUAAAGUGAUAUGGUCUAGUUCAACAACUGCCUGUAUUUUUGGAAUACUGAAGAACAGUCUGUUGUAACAGGUUAAACCCCAUGGAAAGAAUGUGCAUCAUCGCAUCGCCUGCCAAAAAAGGGAGCAAAAAAGAGACUACCUGAUGUAUGGACUUGAAUACCAGGUUUUACCCUGCACAAGCUGGCCGACAUGAGGAGAACAGGAGUGGGAAAACCGCGCCCUCUCCUUGACCAAGAAAAGCUGGAUUUGUUUAGAGGACCUGAUCAAAUGAGAUCAUGCACGAGACGCAUCGCGCAAAGGGC